AUGUGGGUGGCCUGGGGGCUGGGGGUUCCCUUGACCACCCAGGCCAGGCAGAAGGCGAACCGCUCCUUGGUGAGGUAUUGCAGAAACACCUGCUCGGCCUCACCUUGCUUUUCCUGGGGGCAGGAUCUGGCUGUGUUGUCCUUGAAUGGCUCCCUCCUGGUCCACCCUUGCACGGCCAGCCUGGCAGCUCAGGUAUCUUCCGGGGACACCUUCGCCCGGGCCCACAUCCACACAGCCUGCGGCCACCACCAUACCCAUCUGGACACCAGCCUCCAACACGCAUGGCCUCCACUUCAGGCGCUCGGGGUCGCCCCCGACAACCAUAUCCAAGUGUCUGUGGGGGGACACAAACACCCCAGGGCCAGGCUGGCGGUGGCCUUGGGCCAGUGCACCCUGACUGCUCAUGGGGAUGUCAUUACUGAGGCCAACACCACACACGCCAACUGGACCCUGUCGGUGGUGAAUCGCUGUCCCCCGCUGGAGGCAACAGGCCUCCCGCAGGCUCUGCGCUCCGAGGGCAACCUGAGCUGGAGCUCCUGCGAGGUCAGUCUGGCCUCGGGCCUCCGCAGCGACGACGGAGAAGCCCACCUGCAGCUGGCCCGCACCUGCGGGCCCCAGACCUCGGUCGUCGGGCACCUGGCCCACUCCCUGCCCCUGCUGGGCCGCCUGGGCCUGCCACCCAGUGGCACCAUCAGCCUGGCCGUCCAGCCACAGCCUGCCGCCCGCCACUCCCUGGCCCUCCAGCUGGGGCCAUGCCGGCUGCAGGGGACGCUGGAGCAGCGCGCUGGCAACCGGAGUGCAUGGAUGCUGGCCUCUGAGCCCGGCUGCCCGCUGCUGGAGGGUCUGGGCCUCCCAGCAGGGACACAGUUCAGCGGCUCCCUGCAGGCCGCAGGUGGGGAAGCCAAGGUGGCAGGGACCCUCACAUCGGCCAGUGGGACAGCCUCCCUGACCUUGACAGCGGUCGUGCACCAGUCCGAGGCCACGCUUCGAGUGAAACUGAGUCACAGGCUGUCUGCACUGCAGGCCGUCCCCCCAGAGACCUUGCUGACCGUCCGGCUCCGGUGGGAGGCCGGGCACCGGCUGGGUCUGGAGCUGCAGGUGGGGGCCUGUGAGCUGCAGGGCGAUGGUGAGCUGCACCUGGACCACGGGCUGCAGUGGCGGGUGCUGGCCGAGAGCUCCUGCGAGGCUCUGCAGGUAGGUGGUGCAGCUGUGGGAGGAGUGGGUCCCAGGGUCUCCAGGGGGCAGGGCAGGGGCUUUCUUUGGAGGUUCACUAAUUGCUGAGACCACUCAACUCUGAAAAUGUAGCCGUGAAUCAAGCAGAGGUAAAUGCCUGCCUAGGGGGAGACCGGCAAUCCCCGGCACAAAUCAGCGAAUUGCAGACUACAGUACCUAGUGAUAAGGACUACGGAGAGGCAGAAAGUAGGAACGGGGGAGUGAACGGCAGGACAGAUACUGCAAUUUUUAUAAGUCGGUCACGUUUGGCCCAAAAGACAAGAUGGCAUUUGAGCAGAGACUUGAAGGAGAGGAAGGAGGAGAUGUGUGGAUAUCUGGGGAAAGAAUCUUCUAGGCCAGGCCAGUGCAAAGGCCCUGAGGCAGAGGCAGAGAGGAACGGGCUUUUGCUAGGACCAGGGUCAGCAAACCCUUUCUCAAAAAGCCCACAUAGGAUAUAUCUUGAGCUUUGCAGGCUCAGCAGCCUCUGUUGUAAGUACUCAGCCUGGUGGUUACAGCACAAAACACUGUAGACAAGAUAUAAACAAAUAGGUGUGACCGUGUUCCAAUAAAGCUUUAUUUAAAACAACAAGUAGCAGUCUGGAUGUGGCCCGUGGGCCGUAGUUUGCUGACUCCUGUUUUAUGAAAAGCACAUGAGGUGUGGGAGAGCACUCACACUCAGGAUCCUUUGCGGAGGCUGAGAGGGAGGCCUGGGUGGAAGUUUGGGUAUGGAGGUGCUAGAGAGGGGGUGAGGGAGCAGGGUGGCCCCUCUGCUUGUGUCCUGGGUGACGAGAGGCCUGGGGUUGCUGUGCCCUGUGAUGGGGAGCACAGUGGGCAGAGGGGGAGGGUCAGGGAGGCAUUGCUGACUCAGUCCCAUCUCCGACAUGUUAAGUGUGAUGCCCAAGUGAAGGCGUCAGGGGCAGCUCUUGCAGUCAGGAGGUUGGCUGUGGUCUCUGCCUCUCCAUGGUCCCCCCAAAAGCCACGAGACUGGCUGAGAUGCCCGUGGGGUGGGGGGAGACUGAGCUGCAGCAUAAGGGAGCAGGCCCGGGUACCGAGAACAAGCCAGG
Molecule: long non-coding RNA, 2276 nt
Filed under: Canis lupus familiaris (dog)
Lineage: Eukaryota; Metazoa; Chordata; Mammalia; Carnivora; Canidae
Description: lncRNA (ENSCAFG00000056723.1)
Source: RNAcentral